ACCUUCACCAUACCCCAUAGGCUUAACUGUUUGGUCAGGAUCUUCUGGUUCACUCGCCAGGGACUGCACUUUAUGAUCAGGCUUUUCUUUGUGAUCGAGCAUAGUUUUAGGAUCAGGUUCUUCUAGCUCACCCCACAUGGGUUGCAGUUCAUGAUCAGGCAUGACCUUGUCCUCAGGCUCCUCUGGUUCACCUGGCAUGGACCGCAGCAUAUGGUCAGGCAUGAUCUUGUCCUCAGGCUCCUCUGGUUCACCCGGCAUGGACCGCAGCAUAUGAUCAGGCAUGAUCUUGUCCUCAGGCUCCUCUGGUUCACCUGGCAUGGAGUGCAUUUUGCGAUCAGGCAUGAUCUUGUCCUCAGGCUCUUCCGGUUCACCCGGCAUGGACUGGAGUCUAUGAUCAGGCAUGAUCUUGUCCUCAGGCUCCUCUGGUUCACCCGGCAUGGACCGCAGCAUAUGAUCAGGCAUGAUCUUGUCCUCAGGCUCCUCUGGUUCACCUGGCAUGGAUUGCAUUUUGCGAUCAGGCAUGAUCUUGUCAUCAGGCUCUUCCGGUUCACCCGGCAUGGACUGGAGUUUAUAAUCAGGCAUGAUCUUGUCCUCAGGUUCUUCUGGUUCACCCGGCAUGGACUGGAGUUUAUGAUCAGGCAUGAUCUUGUCCUCAGGCUCCUCUGGUUCACCCGGCAUGGACUGCAGCAUAUGGUCAGGCAUGAUCUUGUCCUCAGGCUCUUCUGGUUCACCCGGCAUCGACUGGAGUUUAUGAUCAGGCAUGAUCUUGUCCUCAGGCUCCUCUGGUUCACCCGGCAUGGAUUGCAUUUUGCAAUCAGGCAUGAUCUUGUCCUCAGGCUCUUCCGGUUCACCCGGCAUGGACUGCAGCUUAUGGUCAGGCUUCACUUUGUGCUCAGAUUCUACAUUGAACAUCUCAUGAUCUUGCACGCUCAAACUAACCAUCCCAGGCUUCACAACAUGGUUCAUCUCUAGCUUUCUUGCCUCCAUCAUUGAGAGAUCCUUGAGAACCCUGCGUGCCAAAGUUGAACUAAAGAAGCAUAGUAAGAGAACGAAUCCAAAGCAUCUGCCUUGGUGUCCCUUUG
This 1082-nucleotide long non-coding RNA is filed under the name Brassica napus (rape). RNAcentral describes it as "long non-coding RNA (BNAP_LNC017887)". Lineage: Eukaryota; Viridiplantae; Streptophyta; Magnoliopsida; Brassicales; Brassicaceae. The record is from RNAcentral.